Molecule: transfer RNA, 77 nt
Filed under: Ructibacterium gallinarum
Lineage: Bacteria; Bacillati; Bacillota; Clostridia; Eubacteriales; Oscillospiraceae
Description: tRNA-Arg
Rfam family: tRNA
About the family: Transfer RNA (tRNA) molecules are approximately 80 nucleotides in length. Their secondary structure includes four short double-helical elements and three loops (D, anti-codon, and T loops). Further hydrogen bonds mediate the characteristic L-shaped molecular structure. tRNAs have two regions of fundamental functional importance: the anti-codon, which is responsible for specific mRNA codon recognition, and the 3' end, to which the tRNAs corresponding amino acid is attached (by aminoacyl-tRNA synthetases). tRNAs cope with the degeneracy of the genetic code in two manners: having more than one tRNA (with a specific anti-codon) for a particular amino acid; and 'wobble' base-pairing, i.e. permitting non-standard base-pairing at the 3rd anti-codon position.
Source: RNAcentral
GUCCUCGUAGCUCAGUUGGAUAGAGCGACCGCCUCCUAAGCGGUAGGCCGGAGGUUCAAAUCCUCUCGGGGACGCCA